RNAcentral lists this ribosomal RNA (254 nucleotides) under uncultured bacterium. RNAcentral describes it as "partial 16S ribosomal RNA". It matches the Rfam family "Bacterial small subunit ribosomal RNA", at positions 524 to 776 of the family's 1533-position model. The record is from RNAcentral.
UACGUAGGGGGGCAAGCGUUGUCCGGAAUCAUUGGGCGUAAAGAGCGUGUAGGCGGCUCGAUAAGUCCGCUGUGAAAGUCCAGGGCUCAACCCUGGAAAGCCGGUGGAUACUGUCGGGCUAGAGUCCGGAAGAGGCGAGUGGAAUUCCUGGUGUAGCGGUGGAAUGCGCAGAUAUCAGGAGGAACACCGAUGGCGAAGGCAGCUCGCUGGGACGGUACUGACGCUGAGGCGCGAAAGCGUGGGGAGCGAACAGG